Molecule: long non-coding RNA, 732 nt
Filed under: Cavia porcellus (domestic guinea pig)
Lineage: Eukaryota; Metazoa; Chordata; Mammalia; Rodentia; Caviidae
Description: lncRNA (ENSCPOG00000035218.1)
Source: RNAcentral
CAGCAGGAGACAGAUGCCCCAACAACAAAGGCUGAAUUCACCACUGCAUAUGGUGGGCACUUGGUCCAUAUUGGGUGAAUGAAUGAACUGAUGGACUGGCAUUACAGUGAACGUGUCAUUCUCCCUCUCUGGAAACAGCAGUGGAAAUGCAAACAUGGCCACAUGGAGAUAACAGGUGUAGCAGAUCUCGAAGAAAAGAACUUUCCGGGAAAUCAGAGUAAAAAGCAAGGAUUUCAACCAUUCAGCAGUCCCACUCACACCUGCUCGGCUGUCUCCCCCAGGGCAGUGGGCCUGCCUGGGCUGCAGAGUGGACGGUCCCUGCUGGUCGCUAGUGUGGCACCCUCCUGCUGCAACUCUUUGGUGCUUUCCUCUUCCCAGUGAGUGCUAUGUGAUGUGAUGCUGGGAAUUUCCUCCCACUUCUCUUCAGCUUCCAGGAUGUGUACACUCAGAAUGGAUGGCUUUCACCGCACUGUUAUGCAAUAAAUCUGCCAGGCUGAAUUUCCUUCAGUGAGUCAAAAGAUGAGCCAGAAGCGGGUGGAAUUUAAAUAUAGAUCAGGCGUCCCUCAUGUGAUCUGGCCUUGCGGCUUUGAAGACUGACAAACCAAGCCCAUGAAUUGGUUGCUAGUGGACCUCUGCCGAGUCUUUGCUCAUGCACCCACUGUGGGCAAUGAUUCCUUUGAUACCCAAGUUUGCUUCUGUUUUACCUUUGUAGGGAGCAUGAGCUGGUUAGGC